RNAcentral lists this ribosomal RNA (1977 nucleotides) under Triticum aestivum (bread wheat). RNAcentral's name for it is "partial small subunit ribosomal RNA". The record is from RNAcentral. Lineage: Eukaryota; Viridiplantae; Streptophyta; Magnoliopsida; Poales; Poaceae.
AUGGCCGCUGCCGUGAGCCUUUCCUACCAAAUAGUAAUACACAUCUUCAUGCUCCUCUGCUGCUGCUCCAUAUGGUCUCCACACCUGCCUCGUGCCACCUCCUCCAUUUCUUUCACCUCCAACUUCUCCCAUCCCGACUACGACGGCCGGGACCUCAUCUUCCAGGGCGACGCCUACUACGACUCCCGGUCUCAGACGAUCCAGCUGACCCCGAGCAUCGGGAACAGCGUAGGCCGGGCGUUCCUCGCGGCGCCCGUGCCGCUGUGGGAUGCCGUCACCGGCGAGCUCGCCCGCUUCACCACCUCCUUCACCUUCCAAAUCAAGGUGAACAAUGCAAAUGCCGGCGACGGCUUGGCAUUUUUCCUCGGGCAUUACCCUCCGGCCGACAUUCCCAAGUUCGAGCGUGAGAUGGGCGGCGGGAACCUCGGCCUCUUCAACAAGAGCGUCGGCACAGUCGCUACUGGCGACGAACGAGCCGUGGCCGUUGAGUUUGACACGCACUUGAAUGAUGGCUUCGACCCCAGCGGCAGCCACAUGGGCAUUGAUGUCAACUCCAUCGUCUCACGGGCCUACACCAACGCCACCGUGCCUGGCAGGAACCUAACGUCCGGCCUCACAAUGACUUGCAACAUCACCUACGGUAACGACACAAAAAUCCUGACAGCUCUUCUUCAGAUCGGCGACACGACGUACCGCGUCGACACGACUGUUGACCUCAGGCAGUUCUUGCCUAAUCUAGUGGCCAUCGGCUUCUCCGGUGCCACUGGCGUGGCGCUCGAACUACACCAAAUAGUUUCCUGGUCAUUUGAAUCCACCUUGGAUCCGCCACGGGAGAGCCCUGGGAGUCGCCCUCCUGCACCGAAGACCCUGUUGCCAGUAGAGAUAAUAACUGGACCAGUCAUUGGAGUCAUUGCAAUUGCGUGCAUCUUUGUUGGCAUCCGUCGAUGGCAGCUAUUCACGAGAAAGAGGCGUUACAGAGCUCUUGCCAGGGGCCUUGGGCCUAUUGGUUAUCAUAGGUUGGCAGGUGCAACCAACGAAUUCGCAGAGGAAAACAAGCUUGGGCAAGGAGGUUCUGCCUCUGUUUAUGAGGGCCAACUGGCAAGUCCAAGUAGACCGGUGGCGAUAAAGAUAUUCAAGCAAACAUCAUCACGCGAGGGGAGGAAGGCGUUCGAGGACGAGCUCAAGAUUGCGAGUCGGCUCAGGCACCGGAACCUUGUGGAAUUGAUAGGCUGGUGCUGCGAUGGCCAGAGGAGCCUGGUUGAGUUUAUAUGUUGGUGGCGGGACGACAGGUACACACGUCUCUUCCUUGUGUAUGAGCUUGUGCCACAAGGUAGCCUCGAUCAACACCUACACGAGGGCAAGAGUUGGUUACCAUGGUCCAAGAGGUACAAGAUCAUCCUCGACCUAGGCUCUGCACUGCAAUACCUCCAUGUAGAUUGCGAGCAACACCAACAGUGUAUUGUACACGGUGAUAUCAAGUCCAGCAACGUGUUGCUUGGGUCUUCAAGUGGUGCCAAGUUAGGUGACUUUGGAUUGACAAGAUUUGUUCACCAAGAAACUGGGUCAAAGACCACAGACCUUUUGCAGGGCACUUGGGGAUAUAUAGACCCUGUGUUCCUCAACACGAGCCAGCGGAACAGGCAGUCAGACAUCUACAGUUUUGGCAUUGUCCUACUAGAGAUGGUCUCUGGAAGGGACCCAACGGCGAGUCUCAAUGGUAUGCCUCCGUUGUCGUCAUGGGUAAGGAGUUUGUACCACGACGAUGCGAUCCUUGAGGCUGCAAAUGACAGCUUGAUAGGCGGCGAGUCUAGUACUGAGCGACAACAAAUGGAGCGUGUGCUACUUGUCGGGCUCUUGUGUGUGCAUCAGGACCCGAGCAGCCGGCCGUCCAUCACGCACGCCAUGGAUUCCCUGCGAUCAGAGGAGCUAAAACUGGACAUCACUCCCUUGGCACCGGUGACACUAUCCCUACCAUAG